UGCUGGAUAAUUGGAAAGUCCCGGUGUGUCAACCUCUGUGCUUUGUGGCAAGGUAGACUAGCAAACAUGCCCAACCUUUACUCACAUUCGAGAAAACACUCCCAACAAGAUUGCUUGCUCCAAACUCGAAGAGGCACCGCCCUCCGAAUCUCGAGAGCCAGACUCCCAACAUGAUUACUUUCUCAAAAAUCGAAGAGAGGGUAAAGGAACAGUACCACUGCUGGAUAAUUGGAAAGUCCUUGUGUGUCAACCUCUGUGCUUCGUGGCAAGGUAGACUAGCAAACAUGCCCAACCUUUACUCACAUUCGAGAAAACACUCCCAACAAGAUUGGUUGCUCCAAAAUCGAAGAGGCACCGCCCUCCGAAUCUCGAGAGCCAGACUCCCAACAUGAUUACUUUCUCAAAAAUCGAAGAGAGGGUAAAGGAACAUUACCACUGCUGGAUAAUUGGAAAGUCCCUGUGUGUCAACCUCUGUGCUUCGUGGCAAGGUAGACUAGCAAACAUGCCCAACCUUUACUCACAUUCGAGAAAACACUCCCAACAAGAUUGCUUGCUCCAAAAUCGAAGAGGCAUCGCCCUCCGAAUCUCGAGAGCCAGACUCCCAACAUGAUUACUUUCUCAAAAAUCGAAGAGACACCGCUCUCCGAAUCUCGAGAGCCAGACCCCCAGCAGGAUUGCUUUCUCAAAUAUCGAAGAGGCAUCGUUCUCCGAAUCUCGAGAGCCAGAUCCCCGACAGGAUUGCUUGUUCGAAAACCGAAGAGGCACCACUUUCCCAACUUCAAGAGCUGGAUCUCCUUGGAUAAAGCUUGUCUGUAAUCUUCACACGCAACAUCAGCUUUCCAGAUACCACAGACCACUUUUUCAAAGUGCUCUAACAGAGUUAAAACAUGUGAAGCUGGCAGCUCCCACUACCGUGCUAUGACCAAGCAGGGUAAAGGAAUAUCAUUAUUACUUGAUGUUAGGGAGACUUCAAUAUAUGUCGAC
This 984-nucleotide long non-coding RNA is filed under the name Malus domestica (apple). Its description in RNAcentral is "long non-coding RNA (MDOM_LNC010785)". The record is from RNAcentral. Lineage: Eukaryota; Viridiplantae; Streptophyta; Magnoliopsida; Rosales; Rosaceae.